RNAcentral lists this long non-coding RNA (1165 nucleotides) under Pan troglodytes (chimpanzee). RNAcentral describes it as "long non-coding RNA NONPTRT004980". The record is from RNAcentral. Lineage: Eukaryota; Metazoa; Chordata; Mammalia; Primates; Hominidae.
AAUAAAUCUUGUUACUGCUCCGUUUUUGCAUCUGCAGUGCUUUUGUGAGCUGUGACACUCACCGUGAAGGUCUGUAGCUUCAUUUCUGAAACCAGCGAGACUCCCAACACACCAGGAAGAACAAACAACUCUAGACGCGCUGCCUUAAAAGCUGUAACACGCACCACGAAGGUCUGCAGCUUCAGUCUUGAACCACCGAGACCACAAACCCACCAGAAGAAGAAGAAAAAAAAAACACUCGGAACAUGAGGGAACAAACGGCGGGACAUGCCGCCUUUUAAGAACUGUAGCACUCACUGCGAGGGUCCGUGGCUUCGUUGUUGAAGUCAGUGAGAUCAAGAACCCACCAAUUCCAGACACAGUAGUACGGCAAGGCCCGCCUGAGCUUGUCGUAAUUCACGUUGGUCUUGUUCUUGCAUAGCCCCCACGGCUAGGCCACCUUCCUCUGCAACCACCAGCUUGAGUUCACCACCAUCCCAUGAAGUCCAGGAGCUGUGGCCGUUGCCUUGCUUUCAGCAGCUGCAGCAGAAAGUGCCACAGCGUCACAGGGUGGACAAAGAUUCUCUGCUUGGCCAAACUACAGUCAGGCUCUGGAACCUUCUCCUAGGCCGGCCUGCACUUCCUUGUAAGAAAAAGGCUUUAAAAAGUACCUGCUGGGGCCCGGAGCGGUGGCUCAUGCCUGUAAUCCCAGCACUCUGGGAGGCUGAGGUGGGCGGAUCAUCUGAGGUCAAGAGUUCAAGACCAGCCUGGCCAACAUGGUAAAACCCUGUCUACUAAAAAUACAAAAAUUAGCUGGGUGUGGUGGAGGGUGCCUGUAAUCCCAGCUACUCGGGAGGCUGAGGCAGGAGAAUCGCUUCAACCCAGGAGGCAGAGGUUGCAGUGAGCCAAGAUCAUGCCACUGCACUCCAGCCUGGUGACAGAGUGAGACUCCGUCUCAAAAAAAAAGAACCCCCCUAAGUCAGGUUAAAGACCCACUCUUGGCAUCUGAUCACCCUUGAUCCUGAGUUCCUCAUCUUCCAGCAUCUCCCAGGUCUGAUCACCCUGGUCUGUCUGCAGCAAAAAUCUUCCUGGGCUAAUUUAGCCAGAACCCUCCGUCCCCCCAAUAUUUCCUCUUGGGAAUGUCCGUCCUCCGAGUUUACCCAGCUCCCUGGCUGUCAAUCCCCGC